UUUAUUCGUUCACAGUCUAUUAUUGUUUGGCAGACGACUAAAACACACUCGAACUGAUUUCGGGCACAGACAGCUUCACAUAUGCUGAAAGAAACAACAAAGCCUGAUCACACUCCAUAUACGUAAGAGAGCACGCAUGGAGCUCUACGGGUAGGCUGAUGGGUUGGCCACCAGGUAGCCUUCUGCGGCCUUCAUGAUCCCCGUCAAAGUCUCCUUGGACUUCACUAUCUCCCCCUCGUUGUCCUCAACCCCGGGCAAGAACUUGUAGGUGGACACCACCUUCAACACACUCCCGCCGCCGGCCUUCGGCUCGAACUUGAAAUGGGUCGACGCCGUCUCCAGCUUGCUCCCGAUGUGGCCUCCUUCCACG
This 370-nucleotide long non-coding RNA is filed under the name Musa acuminata (dwarf banana). Its description in RNAcentral is "long non-coding RNA (MACU_LNC001137)". The record is from RNAcentral. Lineage: Eukaryota; Viridiplantae; Streptophyta; Magnoliopsida; Zingiberales; Musaceae.